RNAcentral lists this ribosomal RNA (253 nucleotides) under uncultured bacterium. RNAcentral's name for it is "partial 16S ribosomal RNA". It matches the Rfam family "Bacterial small subunit ribosomal RNA", at positions 524 to 776 of the family's 1533-position model. The record is from RNAcentral.
UACGUAGGGUGCGAGCGUUGUCCGGAAUUAUUGGGCGUAAAGAGCUCGUAGGCGGUUUGUUGCGUCGGCCGUGAAAACCUGCAGCUUAACUGUGGGCCUGCGGUCGAUACGGGCAGACUUGAGUUCGGUAGGGGAUACUGGAAUUCCUGGUGUAGCGGUGAAAUGCGCAGAUAUCAGGAGGAACACCGGUGGCGAAGGCGGGUCUCUGGGCCGAUACUGACGCUGAGGAGCGAAAGCGUGGGGAGCGAACAGG